Molecule: ribosomal RNA, 397 nt
Filed under: uncultured bacterium
Lineage: Bacteria
Description: partial 16S ribosomal RNA
Rfam family: Bacterial small subunit ribosomal RNA
Source: RNAcentral
AUACGUAGGGGGCGAGCGUUGUCCGGAAUGAUUGGGCGUAAAGGGCGCGUAGGCAGCCCGGUAAGUCUGGAGUGAAAGUCCUGUUUUUAAGAUGGGAAUUGCUUUGGAUACUGUCGGGCUUGAGUGCAGGAGAGGUAAGUGGAAUUCCCAGUGUAGCGGUGGAAUGCGUAGAGAUUGGGAGGAACACCAGUGGCGAAGGCGACUUACUGGAAUGUAACUGACGCUGAGGCACGAAAGUGUGGGGAGCAAACAGGAUUAGAUACCCUGGUAGUCCACACUGUAUACGAUGAAUGCUAGGUGUAGGGGGUAUCGACCCCUUCUGUGCCGCAGUCAACACAAUGAGCAUUCCGCCUGGGGAGUACGGCCGCAAGGUUGAAACUCAAAUGAAUUGACGGGG